ACAUGCAAGUCGAACGAUGAAGUGGAGCUUGCUCCACGGAUUAGUGGCGAACGGGUGAGGAACACGUGAGAAACCUGCCUCGGAUUUUGGGAUAACAAAUGGAAACGUUUGCUAAUACCAAAUAACGUCGGAGAGUCACAUGACUUUCUGACGAAAGGAAUUCCGAUUCGAGAGGGUCUCGCGGCCUAUCAGCUUGUUGGCGGGGUAACGGCCCACCAAGGCAACGACGGGUAGCUGGUCUGAGAGGAUGGUCAGCCACACUGGGACUGAGACACGGCCCAGACUCCUGCGGGAGGCAGCAGUGGGGAAUCUUGCGCAAUGGGCGAAAGCCUGACGCAGCAACGCCGCGUGCGGGAUGAAGGCUUCCGGGCUGUAAACCGCUUUCAGCAGGAACGAAACUGACGGUACCUGCAGAAGAAGGAGCGGCCAACUACGUGCCAGCAGCCGCGGUGACACGUAGGCUCCAAGCGUUGUCCGGAUUUAUUGGGCGUAAAGAGCUCGUAGGCGGUUGAGUAAGUCGGGUGUGAAAACUUUGGGCUUAACCCGGAGACGCCACUCGAUACUGCUCUGACUUGAGUUCAGGAGGGGAGUGGGGAAUUCCUAGUGUAGCGGUGAAAUGCGCAGAUAUUAGGAGGAACACCGGUGGCGAAGGCGCCACUCUGGACUGAAACUGACGCUGAGGAGCGAAAGCAUGGGUAGCAAACAGGAUUAGAUACCCUGGUAGUCCAUGCCGUAAACGGUGGGCACUAGGUGUGGGUUCCAACUAACGGGAUCCGCGCCGUCGCUAACGCAUUAAGUGCCCCGC
This 805-nucleotide ribosomal RNA is filed under the name uncultured Actinomycetes bacterium. Its description in RNAcentral is "bacterial SSU rRNA". It matches the Rfam family "Bacterial small subunit ribosomal RNA", at positions 53 to 872 of the family's 1533-position model. The record is from RNAcentral. Lineage: Bacteria; Bacillati; Actinomycetota; Actinomycetes.